GCCUGGGUGGCUCAGUCAGUUAAGCGUCUGACUUCGACUCAGGUCAUGAUCUCAUGGUCCGUGAGUUCAAGCCCCACGUCAGGCU
RNAcentral lists this transfer RNA (85 nucleotides) under Felis catus (domestic cat). It matches the Rfam family "tRNA". Rfam says of the family: Transfer RNA (tRNA) molecules are approximately 80 nucleotides in length. Their secondary structure includes four short double-helical elements and three loops (D, anti-codon, and T loops). Further hydrogen bonds mediate the characteristic L-shaped molecular structure. tRNAs have two regions of fundamental functional importance: the anti-codon, which is responsible for specific mRNA codon recognition, and the 3' end, to which the tRNAs corresponding amino acid is attached (by aminoacyl-tRNA synthetases). tRNAs cope with the degeneracy of the genetic code in two manners: having more than one tRNA (with a specific anti-codon) for a particular amino acid; and 'wobble' base-pairing, i.e. permitting non-standard base-pairing at the 3rd anti-codon position. The record is from Rfam by way of RNAcentral. Lineage: Eukaryota; Metazoa; Chordata; Mammalia; Carnivora; Felidae.